RNAcentral lists this ribosomal RNA (292 nucleotides) under uncultured bacterium. RNAcentral's name for it is "partial 16S ribosomal RNA". It matches the Rfam family "Bacterial small subunit ribosomal RNA", at positions 505 to 796 of the family's 1533-position model. The record is from RNAcentral.
GUGUCAGCCGCCGCGGUAAUACGGAGGGUGCAAGCGUUAUCCGGAUUUACUGGGUUUAAAGGGUGUGUAGGCGGACUUUUAAGUCAGCGGUGAAAUCUCCGGGCUCAACCCGGAAACUGCCAUUGAUACUAUUAGUCUUGAAUAUUGUUGAGGUAGGCGGAACGGGUCAUGUAGCGGUGAAAUGCAUAGAUAUGACCCGGAACACCGAUUGCGAAGGCAGCCUACUAAGCAAUUAUUGACGCUGAGGCACGAAAGCGUGGGGAUCAAACAGGAUUAGAUACCCUAGUAGUCC